GAAUUCGCCCUUAGAGUUUGAUCCUGGCUCAGAACGAACGCUGGCGGCAGGCUUAACACAUGCAAGUCGAACGCCCCUCCGGGGGAGUGGCAGACGGGUGAGUAACGCGUGGGAACCUACCUUUCGGUACAGAACAACAGUUGGAAACGACUGCUAAUACCGUAUACGUCCUUCGGGAGAAAGAUUUAUCGCCGAUAGAGGGGCCCGCGUUGGAUUAGCUUGUUGGUGAGGUAAUGGCUCACCAAGGCGACGAUCCGUAGCUGGUCUGAGAGGAUGAUCAGCCACACUGGGACUUAGACACGGCCCAGACUCCUACGGGAGGCAGCAGUGGGGAAUAUUGGACAAUGGGCGCAAGCCUGAUCCAGCCAUGCCGCGUGAGUGAUGACGGCCCUAGGGUUGUAAAGCUCUUUCAGUGGUGAAGAUAAUGACGGUAACCACAGAAGAAGCCCCGGCUAACUCCGUGCCAGCAGCCGCGGUAAUAAGGGCGAAUUC
RNAcentral lists this ribosomal RNA (492 nucleotides) under uncultured Alphaproteobacteria bacterium. RNAcentral describes it as "bacterial SSU rRNA". It matches the Rfam family "Bacterial small subunit ribosomal RNA", at positions 1 to 536 of the family's 1533-position model. The record is from RNAcentral. Lineage: Bacteria; Pseudomonadati; Pseudomonadota; Alphaproteobacteria.